This 497-nucleotide ribosomal RNA is filed under the name uncultured bacterium. Its description in RNAcentral is "partial 16S ribosomal RNA". It matches the Rfam family "Bacterial small subunit ribosomal RNA", at positions 28 to 507 of the family's 1533-position model. The record is from RNAcentral.
GAUGAACGCUGGCGGCGUGCCUAAUACAUGCAAGUCGAGCGAACGGACGAGAAGCUUGCUUCUCUGAUGUUAGCGGCGGACGGGUGAGUUACACGUGGAUAACCUACCUAUAAGACUGGGAUAACUUCGGGAAACCGGAGCUAAUACCGGAUGAUAUUUUGAACCGCAUGGUUCAAAAGUGAAAGACGGUCUUGCUGUCACUUAUAGAUGGAUCCGCGCUGCAUUAGCUAGUUGGUAAGGUAACGGCUUACCAAGGCAACGAUGCAUAGCCGACCUGAGAGGGUGAGCGGCCACACUGGAACUGAGACACGGUCCAGACUCCUACGGGAGGCAGCAGUAGGGAAUCUUCCGCAAUGGGCGAAAGCCUGACGGAGCAACGCCGCGUGAGUGAUGAAGGUCUUCGGAUCGUAAAACUCUGUUAUUAGGGAAGAACAUAUGUGUAAGUAACUGUGCACAUCUUGACGGUACCUAAUCAGAAAGCCACGGCUAACUACGUG